GAGGUUCCUGGGGACAGCCGCAAAAGACCGCGGGUGGUCCCAGGCCAGGAGCCCUGAGACCAGGGACACGAAAUAGAAGCCACGCCCUGACUGGGUGAGGCUGGUGUGGCCUGGGGAUGAAAGGGCGCUCUCUUAUUUUUGUUACUGAAGCUGAAGGUCAAACUGAUGCCCAGUGAAUGAAAGUUAGAAAAGCAAUAAUAAUAACUUUUUUGAAAGGCAGAUAUCUCAGAAAAUGAAGACCGGGAAAUAUGGGCGAAGUCAGAUGCCUCAUUCUCUCUUCCUGCAGAAGAAGUCGAUGUUGGACUAAAGGCUUCUCUUUAAAAGCCCAUCUGGGAAGCUAACCUUUUCAUCUCUGGCCGUCCCUGACCAGAAACAGUGGCAGGCUGGUGAAAACUCUGUCCGGCUCGGGCCUGGUGCUCGCAUCAGCACUUCAAGGCCACCGAAUUAGUGUUUGAAGACCAGAUGAUCUGAUUAGAUUAUGUGGUUUGUAGAAAAUUAAAUUCUUUGGCCAAACCAGAUGCUAAGCUUCUGUCCAGAAUUGAUAUGCUAUUAGAAGGCCUGGAAACUAAUAAACGUACCAUAACUAUUAAUUUAUAGAUAGGUUGUUGGCAAAUAACCUCAGAGAGAGGAUCCAGGCUUGAAACAGCUUUUGUGACACCAGAUGGAGUGUGUGAGUUUAAUCAGAGUCCUGGGAAGGGAUCUGUACAGUGUAUUAAAAAACUCCACUGUCAUCUAUGAGUGAAGUCUGACAUAUACUGAGAAAAGUAUAGGAAAGUAGAACCUAACUGAAGCCGAUUCAAGAAACGAUGACUCAUGCAAGGAUCUAGAUGUUCUUUUAGGAUGAAGUGUGUUGGUAUGAAGCAGGGACAAUUCACCUAUCCAGAAUCUGGUGACCUGGCAGUUUUACCUGAGGACAAAGAGGCCAGAAGCUACCCAGCCAACCAAGCAAAUGUCCCACACUUCGAGUGGCCGAGCUGAACCUCUCAAGAACACCCCAAGUCCAGAAGGCUCACUUAUGUCCCCAAUGUCUCAAACCAGCAGUCCCUAAAGC
RNAcentral lists this long non-coding RNA (1051 nucleotides) under Equus caballus (horse). RNAcentral describes it as "lncRNA (ENSECAG00000046660.1)". Lineage: Eukaryota; Metazoa; Chordata; Mammalia; Perissodactyla; Equidae. The record is from RNAcentral.